Molecule: ribosomal RNA, 201 nt
Filed under: uncultured bacterium
Lineage: Bacteria
Description: partial 16S ribosomal RNA
Rfam family: Bacterial small subunit ribosomal RNA
Source: RNAcentral
ACGCUCGACACCUACGUGAGGCAGCAGUCGGGAAUAUUGCGCAAUGGAGGAAACUCUGACGCAGUGACGCCGCGUGCAGGAAGAAGGUUUUCGGAUUGUAAACUGCUUUAGACAGGGAAGAAAGAAAUGACAGUACCUGUAGAAUAAGCUCCGGCUAACUACGUGCCAGCAGCAGCGGUAAUCUGAGCGGGCUGGCAAGGC